RNAcentral lists this ribosomal RNA (2816 nucleotides) under Fopius arisanus. RNAcentral's name for it is "eukaryotic LSU rRNA". It matches the Rfam family "Eukaryotic large subunit ribosomal RNA", at positions 323 to 2311 of the family's 3401-position model. Lineage: Eukaryota; Metazoa; Arthropoda; Insecta; Hymenoptera; Braconidae. The record is from RNAcentral.
UGACCAUGAGACCGAUAGCGAACAAGUACCGUGAGGGAAAGUUGAAAAGAACUUUGAAGAGAGAGUUCAAGAGUACGUGAAACCGUUUAGGGGUAAACCUGAGAAACCCAAAAGAUCGAAUGGGGAGAUUCAUCGUCAGCUCAUUUUGUAUAUAGAUUAGUUAUGAUAUGGGUUACUACUUGUAGUAUUGCCUGUACAUUCUUUUAUAUUUAAUUGCAAGAUGUUGUCGGCGUGCACUUCUCCCCUAGUAGGACGUCGCAACCCGUUGAGUGUCGGUUUACGGCUCAAGUUGGUAGCCUUUAAUUUAUUUAUAAAUUAAAGACCCUUGAUGUUUUCUAACUGGCUGCUCGGCGGUAUUCGUAUGGUAUUAGGCCGCAUAUAUAUGCGUUUAUAUCUGUCGCAAGCGCGGUCAAUUUUUGGUAGUACGGACCUAGUGCCGUCGCUAUAAUUGAUCAGCUGUUGGUUGUACGGUAUUCUAUAACUGGCUUAUAAAUAUAUAUACCGGUUUGCGAUGCUACUGCUUUGGGUACUUUCAGGACCCGUCUUGAAACACGGACCAAGGAGUCUAACAUGUACGCGAGUCAUUGGGAUUUAAAAAAAAAUUAAACCUAAAGGCGUAAUGAAAGUAAAGGUCGUCCUUGUGUCGAUUAAGGGAGGAUAAUUUAUAUUAUGAUAUAAUUUCGCACUCCCGGGGCGUCUCAUUCUCAUUACGAGAAGAGGCGCACCUAGAGCGUACACGUUGGGACCCGAAAGAUGGUGAACUAUGCCUGGUCAGGAUGAAGUCAGGGGAAACCCUGAUGGAGGUCCGUAGCGAUUCUGACGUGCAAAUCGAUCGUCGGAACUGGGUAUAGGGGCGAAAGACUAAUCGAACCAUCUAGUAGCUGGUUCCCUCCGAAGUUUCCCUCAGGAUAGCUGGCACUCGUUUUUCAACGAGUUUCAUCUGGUAAAGCGAAUGAUUAGAGGCCUUGGGGCCGAAACGACCUCAACCUAUUCUCAAACUUUAAAUGGGUGAGAUCUCUGGCUUGCUUGAAUUUAUGAAGCCAUGAGAUUUUUAAUUGAAUCAGAGUGCCAAGUGGGCCAAUUUUGGUAAGCAGAACUGGCGCUGUGGGAUGAACCAAGCGCUGAGUUAAGGCGCCCAAGUCGACGCUUAUGGGAUACCAUGAAAGGCGUUGGUUGCUUAAGACAGCAGGACGGUGGCCAUGGAAGUUGGAAUCCGCUAAGGAGUGUGUAACAACGCACCUGCCGAAGCAACUAGCCCUGAAAAUAGAUGGCGCUGAAGCGUCGCUCCUAUACUCUGCCGUCAAUGGCAAGUGAAAUGUAUAUUUAUUUAUACAUUAUGAAGCUCUGACGAGUAGGAGGGUCACGGCGGUGUGCGCAGAAGGGUCUGGGUGUGAGCCUGCCUGGAGCCGCCGUCGGUGCAGAUCUUGGUGGUAGUAGCAAAUACUCCAGCGAGGCCCUGGCGGACUGACGUGGAGAAGGGUUUCGUGUGAACAGCCGUUGCACACGAGUCAGUCGAUCCUAAGCCCUAGGAGAAAUCCUAUGUUGAUGAUGGUGUUGCUUUUAUGAUAUAUAACAAUAAAAAAAUGAAAUAAAUAUAUGUAUUAAUUGUUACACACCCGUUGGGCGAAAGGGAAUCCGGUUCCAAUUCCGGAACCCGGCAGCGGAACCGCAUACAAUUCGGGCUCUCGUAAGAGUGUUCGUCGGGGUAACCCAAAAUGACCUGGAGACGCCGUCGGGAGAUCCAGGAAGAGUUUUCUUUUCUGUAUAAGCGUUCGAGUUCCCUGGAAACUUUUAGCAAGGAGAUAGGGUUUGGAACGCGAAGAGCACCGCAGUUGCGGCGGUGUCUGGAUCUUCCCCUCGGACCUUGAAAAUCCAGGAGAGGGCCACGUGGAGGUGUCGCGCCGGUUCGUACCCAUAUCCGCAGCAGGUCUCCAAGGUAAAGAGCCUCUAGUCGAUAGAUUAAUGUAGGUAAGGGAAGUCGGCAAAUUGGAUCCGUAACUUCGGAAUAACUAUUGGCUCUGAGGAGCGGGGCGUGUCGGGCUUGGUCGGGAAGUGGGUUUGGCUAACGUGCCGGGCCUGGGCGAGGUGAAUGGAUCAGUAAUGUUUCAGAAUCCGAGCUCGGUCCCGUGCCUUGGCCUCCCGCGGAUCUUCCUUGCUGCGAGGCUUCUGUGAUGCUUCAUUGUGUUGCAGUCGUUCUCUUCGGCCGCCAUUCAACGCCCAGCUAAGAACUGGCACGGACUAGGGGAAUCCGACUGUCUAAUUAAAACAAAGCAUUGCGAUGGCCCUCGCGGGUGUUGACGCAAUGUGAUUUCUGCCCAGUGCUCUGAAUGUCAACGUGAAGAAAUUCAAGCAAACACGGGUAAACGGCGGGAGUAACUAUGACUCUCUUGUCGGUGUCGGACGCAUGAUUAAUGCUCGUGUGCCUUUUGCAAUUUUUUGUUGGUUAAAAGUGGUUGAUUCAGUUUGAAAAGUGGCCUAAAAUUUAAACUCGCCGUGCUUGUCAUUUUUGUGCAAUUAGUUCUUAUCCAAAUGAAGUGUACAGAGUGUAAUUAAUGGAUUUCAUUAGUGCUGUGUUUGGCUUGUGCACGCUCCAAAUCACUACGUAUGUUCAGCCAUUGUGAUGACGUAUAUAAUGGCCCCUUAUCAUUGGCGCCAUCUGGCUUAGUGAAUUAGCAUACAGUUACCUACCACGAGUGUUAUCCUUUCGGUAUAUCUGUUCUAUCGACUGUGUGCUUUACCGAUCGCGGUCGUUACCAGCAAUAGUAAACAUAGACAAAACCAGCGCCACCUGGUGUCCUGAUUGGAAAUCAUUAAUG